Long non-coding RNA from Prionailurus viverrinus (fishing cat), 1371 nucleotides. RefSeq lists it as uncharacterized. Lineage: Eukaryota; Metazoa; Chordata; Mammalia; Carnivora; Felidae. The record is from RefSeq and is a predicted model, not a curated record. The transcript is spliced from 3 exons.
UUCAACCUUUAAUGGGAAAGGGAGUGCUAGGUAUCUAGGUCAGUGCCUUGCACAUGCUUGACAGCAGGUACCUUUGUGGUUAGUAUACAUCUUAACGUGAUACAUUUUGAUGCAGUGUGCUCUUUUUGUUUGCAUUUUCAGGUGUCGGGAAUGCUAAACUGAUGUGACUGACUUGAUAAGUACUAGGCUAGGCUUAUUCCUAAAAUACCUGGCACUACUUGGUGACUAAUUGAACACAUCAGACACUGAGUACUUUGGACAUAGAAUCUUUUAGUCCUCUUGCUUACAGAGAGGUGUUGAGAGGUUUCCUGUCAACAUUCUAGUAAAGAUGUCGAAGGACAUUUUGUGAGAUCCACACAGCAAUGUAGUGCUGGUAACCCCAUCUCACAGAGGAGGAAAUGGGUUCAACCGCAUGAGGCAAAGAUGCCGGAUAGAAGGAUAACGGGAACAUGUGGAAUGCAGUAGCCAAUUAAUUGUCGGAGCACUCUAGGCUGCUUCUUGAAUCUAGUGCUGUUUCUUUUUCUCACAGGCCACUGGCCCAACUUACUUUCCAUUUUAUUUCAUUUUUUGACUUGGUAAUAUAUUCAAGGUGUAUAUAGUGAGAAUGCACCCUAACCCUGACUCAGCUGCCCAGUUACCUCCCCAAAGACAACCAUUGUUACCAAUUAAUAUAGCCUGAGCAAAUAUGGACAGAUUUUCUCCAUUUCCCUUUUAACACAAAAUAGAUGCACCUUGUUUUCCCUCGUUUAACAUUUUGGAGUUCUUCCAUUAUACGUAAAAAUGGCACUCUUUUUAUGUUGCAUACUAUUUAGUUCCUGGAUGUUGCAUAAUUGACACAGAUAACUUGUGUGCCCCUUCAAUGUGCCAGGUACUAUUAGCCAUGGAAAACAGAUGAACAAAGUCUUUAUCUUCUGGAGCUUAAGUUCUGGAGAGACAAAUGAACAAACAGGUGGGUAAUAACUGAUUCAGACAACAAUGAGGCGGGGAGAGAAAGGGGGAAUUGGUUGGUAUUGGGUAAAGGAUGUCUAAGGGAGGCCUCUGAUAGUAACGUUUGUGCAUGUGAGGGAGUAAGGCACGUCAGCUUGUGGAGAUAGAGUGUUCUAGGCAGAGGGCAUAGUAAGUGGAGAAACUCUGAAGUGGUUUGUGUUGGGUAAGGAUGCCAGCAUGGAGUGAACACUGGGAGAGAACAGGAAGAGAUGGCAUAGGAAGGGAGAGCAGUGUAGGAUAUAGAUUAUAUAGGACCUGUGUACCUUGGAGAGGACUUGCUGCUUUUCCACUGAGUUUUUCAGCAAAGCAGGAAUUAGUUCCCUCUUAGUGGAUGUGAGGGUUUCUGAUUACAGUAAUAAUGCUGUAGUGAAUUUUACAAUACAU